Molecule: transfer RNA, 75 nt
Filed under: Ruania alba
Lineage: Bacteria; Bacillati; Actinomycetota; Actinomycetes; Micrococcales; Ruaniaceae
Description: Haloactinobacterium album tRNA_Val_CAC
Rfam family: tRNA
About the family: Transfer RNA (tRNA) molecules are approximately 80 nucleotides in length.
Source: RNAcentral
GGGCGAUUGGCUCAGCGGUAGAGCGCCUCGUUCACACCGAGGAGGUCACUGGUUCGAACCCAGUAUCGCCCACCG